This 367-nucleotide transfer-messenger RNA is filed under the name Flavobacteriales. Its description in RNAcentral is "GCA-002697625 sp002697625 Standard tmRNA". It matches the Rfam family "transfer-messenger RNA". From Rfam's summary of the family: Bacterial tmRNA, also known as 10Sa RNA or SsrA, is named for its dual tRNA and mRNA-like properties. Lineage: Bacteria; Pseudomonadati; Bacteroidota; Flavobacteriia. The record is from RNAcentral. RNAcentral also lists the same sequence under 1 other name.
GGGACUGACUGGAUUUGACUGCAAGAUGCGUUGAAUGGUAAGCAUGUCGAGCAUUGUUUUUUGGCUCGUAAAAAUCAAGAUUCAAAUUUUUAAUUGGCGAGUCUAACUACGCUUUAGCUGCUUAAUUUAAUAAUUAAGCUGGCUUUUGUCUCUUUUAAAGGACCUCCUGAUUCCUUUAAUAUUGAGGCAUUAUUAACUUCAGGAUAGCUGAUUUAUGUCUUCUUUAAUGAUGCGAAAUUUUAUGAAGAUAAGGAUUGGGUUUGGUUGCUUUUUUCCUACCUUUUCUCGAAAAUAAAAUAAGAUAAACAUGUAGAAAUCUUUUUAAUUCCUUGUUAGGACGUGGGUUCGAAACCCACCAGUUCCACUA